UCAUGAAUAAUCAAAUUGUUUUGAAAUGGAAACUUAAAUGAUGCAAGGCGAUUCCGAAAUUUUUGGCCAUUUUCCGUUGGAGUGUUCUCGACCUGCCCAGGCAGAUUCCUUGCCAAAUUGCUCAACUUUUUAAGUGCUUUGAUUUGCAUUGCCAGGAUGUGGGGGAGGUGCAGUUGCAUCGCUGGAUGAGGAUGGAAGUGAAACGUGAACCGUGAAUAUGGAGCUGUGCAAACGACCUUUGCUUUUUGGAUUGUCGUUGGCUUAGUCCCGACUCGUAUUCGCAUUAACGCCAUUAGGCCAAUUUGGCACUUUGCCCUGGCCCGAAAGGCGAAAGGCGAACGGCGCACGGAGAAGUUUCACAAACAAAGGUAACAAACGGCGGCACGAUGCUGCAAUAGCUUUUCCCAAAAACCUGAAAACCUGAAAACCGUGGCAAGCCCCCGGAUCUGCCCCUCCGAACGCCACUCACAUGCCAAUGCACGUGUAAAUAAAAGUCAAGUGAGAAAAACAAAUAAAUUAGAAGCGCA
Drosophila bipectinata is the source of this 527-nucleotide long non-coding RNA. RefSeq lists it as uncharacterized. NCBI's taxonomy places the organism in Eukaryota, Metazoa, Arthropoda, Insecta, Diptera, Drosophilidae. The record is from RefSeq and is a predicted model, not a curated record.